RNAcentral lists this ribosomal RNA (253 nucleotides) under uncultured bacterium. RNAcentral's name for it is "partial 16S ribosomal RNA". It matches the Rfam family "Bacterial small subunit ribosomal RNA", at positions 524 to 776 of the family's 1533-position model. The record is from RNAcentral.
UACGUAGGGGGCAAGCGUUGUCCGGAAUCAUUGGGCGUAAAGAGCGUGUAGGCGGCCCGAUAAGUCCGCUGUGAAAGUCCAGGGCUCAACCCUGGAAUGCCGGUGGAUACUGUCGGGCUCGAGUCCGGAAGAGGUGAGUGGAAUUCCUGGUGUAGCGGUGAAAUGCGCAGAUAUCAGGAGGAACACCAGCGGCGAAGGCGGCGCUCUGGGCUGGAACUGACGCUGAGGAGCGAAAGCGUGGGGAGCGAACAGG